UUAUAAAUAUUAAUAUAAAAAACAUAAUGGAGCAUAAAAUAAAAAUAAAAUUAUAUUAAAAUGACGCAAAUAAGUGGAAACCUGGAGUCCAUGGAGAUAAACGAGAUAAAAAAAUAAUGUUUACGAAUAUGUGAAUAUAAAUUAAAAUCAUUUUGGCAACAUCGUUAAAUAUGGAAUGAAGUCUGUGCAAAAUUAAAGACAAGUUUAUACAAGUUUACACAAGGAAAAUAGCAGAAUAAAUAAAUGGAUGAUAAACAAAUAUCAGAUAAGUAGUUAAAAUUUAUACAUAUAUAUAUAUAUGUGUGUGUGUGUGUGUAUACAUAUAAUAAAAGAUUAAUUAUCUACAUAUUGUCUGUGACUGCGGAUAUUGUUGGACCGAUUUUUUCCUUUCAUUCAUUUUCUUGUUUCAGCUUCACAGCAAACCAUGUGCUUGCAGAAUGUUUAUAGUCAGAGAACAAUCUCCUGCAGGAUAAAAUUGCCAAAGUGUGAGCCUUGACGUACAUCAUUCAUGCAUCAUAGUUCUUUGCACCAGAAUCAAUUGUCACAUCUGGAAUAAAGUUUAUACAACAUGAAACAAGGAACACAUAAAGAAGUAAAUGGAUAAUAAAGGAACAUAUAUCAGAUAAGUAACUUAUGUUUACACAAAAAAAGUACUAAGUAUCUAUAUGCUGUGAAAAAUUGCACAUGUCGGGUUGAUUGUUGCUUUGUAAUGAAUUUUGUUAUUUUAGCCUUCUAAUUAACCAUGUGCUGGUCAAAAACACUUGAAAUUAUAUCUAACAUGGAAUAUAAGAGUAUAUAUGUUACCAGCACUGCAGCGACAGAUUGAUGUAACAAACCAAGAGCAGAAAUGGAAAACGUUUCUCAAACAUCGAGGAUCAAUCCUGUAGCAUUACUUUAGCAAGAUGAAAAAUCAUAUAUUGGAAAUGGAAAAUGCAACAGCCAUGACAAAUCAAGGAGUAACAAAUAUAUAAAUAUAUAAACACUAAGAAAUAUCAAAAGAAGAAUAGGAGAUUGUUCUCUGACUAUAAACGUUCUGCAAGCACAUAGUUUGCUGCGAAGCUGAAACAAGAAAAUGAAUUAAAGAAAAGAAUCGGUCCAACAAUAUCCGCAGUCACAGAC
This is a long non-coding RNA of Odontomachus brunneus, 1119 nucleotides long. RefSeq lists it as uncharacterized. The record is from RefSeq and is a predicted model, not a curated record. The transcript has 4 exons. Lineage: Eukaryota; Metazoa; Arthropoda; Insecta; Hymenoptera; Formicidae.